Molecule: non-coding RNA, 27 nt
Filed under: Rattus norvegicus (Norway rat)
Lineage: Eukaryota; Metazoa; Chordata; Mammalia; Rodentia; Muridae
Source: RNAcentral
UGACAAAACGAAUUGUGGUUUUUCUCA